RNAcentral lists this ribosomal RNA (375 nucleotides) under uncultured organism. RNAcentral's name for it is "partial 16S ribosomal RNA". It matches the Rfam family "Archaeal small subunit ribosomal RNA", at positions 477 to 851 of the family's 1478-position model. The record is from RNAcentral.
CAGCACCUCAAGUGGUCAGGAGGAUUAUUGGGCCUAAAGCAUCCGUAGCCUGCUUUGUAAGUUUUCGGUUAAAUCCAUAUGCUCAACAUAUGGGCCGCCGGGAAUACUGCACAGCUAGGGAGUGGGAGAGGUAGACGGUACUCGGUAGGAAGGGGUAAAAUCCUUUGAUCUAUUGAUGACCACCAGUGGCGAAGGCGGUCUACCAGAACACGUCCGACGGUGAGGGAUGAAAGCUGGGGGAGCAAACCGGAUUAGAUACCCGGGUAGUCCCAGCUGUAAACUAUGCAAACUCGGUGAUGCGUUGGCUUGUAGCCAGUGCAGUGCCGCAGGGAAGCCGUUAAGUUUGCCGCCUGGGAAGUACGUACGCAAAGUAUG